Spodoptera litura is the source of this 785-nucleotide long non-coding RNA. RefSeq lists it as uncharacterized. Lineage: Eukaryota; Metazoa; Arthropoda; Insecta; Lepidoptera; Noctuidae. The record is from RefSeq and is a predicted model, not a curated record.
UCCACAGACUUAUUAUUUUACUGAAAUGAUAGAAUAUUUAAUAUCUAACAUUAUCUGUGGACCAUAGACAAGGAAACACUGCCCAUGCCAUUGUUACAUGCUCUGUGGUCAUAAUAUUGUGCGUCAUGUAUGCGUGCGCAAAAACAGGAUAAUGCUCAGCAAUUUCUGCGACUUAAACCUCAAGAGGUUAGCGUCGCAGCGCUGAUUUUCAGCAUCUCCUUGGGUGACGUAAUGGCGUCCCGCCAGCUUCACUAAUCGCCAGCGAACAAGAAUGCAAAACAACAAAACAACGAAAUGAUCAAGUAGCCGGCAUGACCUGUAAAAUACAGAUAUACCUAUAUUGACCAUAAAUGAUGGGGGAGGCUGCAGCUACGAACAACAACCUGUUGGAUACCUGUGCAUCACCAUGUUGGAAGGCCGCGACCCUUGAGGCCUCGCAUUGGUGGUGGCAGGUUGUUCCAACAGUGAGUCGCAGCAUAUUUGAAGCUCCCCCUGAAGGCCGCUGUUCUGUGCUGAGGGAUGGAUAGUGGAUUUGUAGUUGAGCGUAUGUGGUUUAUUGAACUAUGCUGUCUCCACUGUAAUUUCUCAUACAGGUACCGUGGCUUUUGGGUAGUAAUAACUCCAAACAAUAGGCCUGCCAGGUGCAAACGUCUCCGAGCUUCCAUUUUUAAAAUAUUGUUUCGAUUCGCAAAAGGGGUGACAUGGCUUCUUCGUGGUAUGUCCACACAGUAUCUUAUGCAAGCAUUUUGAACACGCUGCACCAAUCUGUUUGUUUUUGCUAGCAA